Molecule: long non-coding RNA, 141 nt
Organism: Ipomoea nil (Japanese morning glory)
Lineage: Eukaryota; Viridiplantae; Streptophyta; Magnoliopsida; Solanales; Convolvulaceae
Exons: 3
Source: RefSeq, a predicted model, not a curated record
GGGCGUCACUCCGGCGCACCACCCGACAACACUAUGGUGCGACAAUCUCGGGGCCACAUACUUGGCUGUCAAUCCAGUUUUUCACGCUCGGACGAAGCAUGUUGAGAUCGAUUAUCACUUUGUUCGAGACAAGGUCGCAUC